RNAcentral lists this ribosomal RNA (252 nucleotides) under uncultured bacterium. Its description in RNAcentral is "partial 16S ribosomal RNA". It matches the Rfam family "Bacterial small subunit ribosomal RNA", at positions 524 to 776 of the family's 1533-position model. The record is from RNAcentral.
UACAGAGGUCUCAAGCGUUGUUCGGAUUAUUGGGUUUAAAGGGUGCGUAGGCGGCUUUUUAAGUCAGGGGUGAAAGACGGUAGCUCAACUAUCGCAGUGCCCUUGAUACUGAAGAGCUUGAAUACACUAGAGGUAGGCGGAAUGUGACAAGUAGCGGUGAAAUGCAUAGAUAUGUCACAGAACACCAAUUGCGAAGGCAGCUUACUAUGGUGUCAUUGACGCUGAGGCACGAAAGCGUGGGGAUCAAACAGG